Long non-coding RNA from Oryza sativa Japonica Group (Japanese rice), 2327 nucleotides. RefSeq lists it as uncharacterized. The record is from RefSeq and is a predicted model, not a curated record. NCBI's taxonomy places the organism in Eukaryota, Viridiplantae, Streptophyta, Magnoliopsida, Poales, Poaceae.
UGAAACAGAGGAAUUACAUGAUUGGCACUACUAACUUGAAAUUGUUUGCACCGUUUGAUCUCAUUGAGAUAGAAUACUUCUAGCUAACUAGAUCUGCCGGUCAUGUUAAUUUGGCUGAGAUAGAUUCCGAUUGUAUAAUAUUUUAUAUUUCAUAUGGAAAGAUAUACUACUAUAACCCUAUAAACAAACAGAUCACUCCUAAAGAUAUGCUAUAAACAGAUAGAGUAUAAUCGUACGGACAUUUCCACGGUAGGGCUGCAUACCAGUUCUCCUACGAUUUGGGCGAAUAUUUGCCCACGUGCACGUGGCCCCCAUGUUCUAUACAAGAGGAAAACAAUGUGGAUGAAAAAGGUCAAUUUUCUGAAAUAAACCCAAUGUGGUUCUCUUAGUUUGUAAUAAAGUUGAAGCACAUUUUUAUCAGAAAACACCUUGAACUCUCUCAUAGAACUAGUAUAGAACAUGACAUUUUCAUAAGUAGCCUGAUCAUAAAUAUUUGAUGUUUAAUGUAAGAUUUGUAAGCUUUUAAAACUUUGACAUCAAUUUCAUAUAAUUAAAUAAGAGGACUGUGUGCCACCCUCCUUAAUAGGGGUGGUAGCGGGGCGGGGGCGGGUUGAACAGAAACGCCCUCGCCCCCGCUCCUCGCAUUCCGCCCCUGCCCCUGCCCCCAUAUUGUCAACCGGGUUGAAAACCUCUCUCAACCCCACACCCGUAGGGAACCUGGCGGCGGUGGCGGAUCUAGGAAGCAGGCCGGCCCUAAGAGGGGCGAGCGGUGCGGCCGCUCUGAGGCCCCAAAAUCGGAGGGAGAGGCAGGGGCAGUGUUGACGGUGAACCGCCGGUAGUGGACGCAACCACGUGGAGCAGGUCCUUCCAGAGUGGUGGCAGCACCGAAGCAGGGAAGCCUGAAGCUGGCGAGGCAGUCCCCUGCAAGUAGAGGUGGCCCAGCCUCGAAAGGCGGCGAGUGGGAGCUCAUCCCUCCAGUCGAUGGCUGUGGUCCGGAGGAGGGGCCAUGCAAUGAGGAUGGGGGCGCGGAGGUUAGCGACGGCGACAACCUGUUGGGGCAGCGAUGGUGAGGCGAAGACCAUGACAACAUGUUGCUAGCUGCUUGACGUGACGAUGAAUGACGAGAGGUUGAAGAUGGGGGCAUUUCUGUCCAAUAUGGAUAAAAUAUGUAUACUAGUGGCAUGUUUCAAAUUAUAUAAAAAUAGUAAUAGCAUUGGUACAAAUACACGAAUUGUAAUGGCAUAUUUUGAAUCCGUUAAAUUUAUAAUGGAAUGUAUUUGAUUAACCCUUAUUAUUUUGUUCGACUGGCAUAUGCGUCUGUAUAUUUUGUUUUAAUUUUAUAUAGUUUCAAAUUUUGCUUCUAAUAUUAUCACGUCAACUUUAUGUAUCGUUAUAUCAGUUAAAAUUAGGGUAAUAUUGAGGGAUCUUGUUUGUACUAAUUUUAAAAAUUAAGGAUGCGUUCGUAUCCGACUUUACGAUGAUUUUCAAACUCGACGACGACGACGACAAAUCUCGACCGAACUUUUCCCGUUCCGGAAACCUUCGCGGCCAACCAUGCCGCCGUCUCCCUCACCUCUCGUUCCCGCCUCUUCGCCAACAGAGGGCCGCCGCCGCCGCCGCCCCUAUCACGGUCGCCUCCUUCAAGAACACAACUGCGCGCACCCGCGGCGCGUGACGCGGCCGGCGUCAUCCCCACGCUUCUCGCCGGCGGCGGCAGCCGGUGUCCUGAACCCUUCGAGGAGACCCCUGCGAGCUCCAUCAUCGUGGUGCUCGAUGAAAUGUCGCCAUGGAGAUCGGUUUACUCAUCGAGGACAUCGGCGUGCAGCAUAACAGCAGGAGACGUAACGUACCACCUCAGGACGCAGAAUUUGGAAGAUGCUCAGUGCAUACCAUUGACGGCACCAUAUUGAGAUGUGUACCUGAGAACGCCAAUGGAGGCAGUACGAGGAAUGGAAAAGGUGAACACUUUGGCAAGGGAAAAGCCUGGUGUAGUAGGAGCCUGGUAGCCCAGAGAUAUAGAAUGGAGGCAGUGCUACUCCCUUGGGAUGAGAUGCUGCGAUCGACUUAGUAAACUGUUUAACUGACUUGAACACCUGAUUGAAAUCAUUGCCAGACAGAUCAUUCAGGAAGAACUGGAGUUCCAUGGGAUGGCACCUGAGCUCAUCAUGGUGCUGAGCAUCAGCUACCGUGUUGAUCACAUCGGAGACGAAGAGGAGAGUGUUUGCAUCGACAGAAAAGCCUAGGUCAGCAACUAUCAUAGCUCGAGGAUGGAGAGCCAUGCACACCUGUCUCACAGCCUUGUCAAGCACCGGCUUGGUCUUGAGCAA